ACGUGCGCAAGCGCAGUCAGUGGGCGUCUCGAGGGCUGUCGGGGCUUCCUUGUGGCGUCUGCACCCGGGGCGUUCUCCCGCCGGUCGCUGCUCCGCCUACGUCCAGGCUCCUCCCGGCUGCCUGAGUUGCGCAAUCCGUAGCCGGGGAAGCGCUACGUGGAGACCGCGCUAAGUGGAAGCCGAGCGGCGGACCUUGAAUGUAUUCUGGACAUUCCUCAGGAACCUGAGGAGGAUACUAAAAAGACAGCCACAACUUUCCUUCUGCUUGCUGCCAAAGUUCUUGAGGCCAGCUGUUAGGAUUAUGGCAUGAGUGUUGUCUCUGCGAGGGACUAUGGAGAGUGGGAGGUUCAAGCUCAUCGGCAGGACCAUGAACAGUGACAUACGCAGCUCUUUCAAGGUUGUGAGGGCAGAGGAAUGAGAAUGUGAAAAUCCCUGAUACUGAGAAGCCCCCGAGAAGUGUUUGUGGCAGAGCCCAUCACCUUCGCCUCCCUCCACGUGGAGGAAAUCUUGCAGCCGGAAGGGGUUACCAUUGGCUGUCACUAUGGUGAUUACUGUGAUUUCCUGCCUGGAGAUAAGGGCAGCGGACUGGUAGUGGUUCAACUGCUGCUGAACAUCUGGAGGUUCUGAGUAGGAGGAGUCUGUGGACAGACGGGGAAAAUGACACCGGACACAGAGAACACAGCAGAGGUUUGACACUUGAAAGCCCCCGACAUUAGUCUGGAUUUUUUUUUUUUUUUAAGAUGAGUACUAUGAUCCAUCUUUCAUCUUCAUUUACAUCCUACAACAUGGAUCUGGGAAAGGGCAGGUGGGAAGAAAGCAUCACUUCGUUUAAUCAGACUUUGAGGGCUCAUAGCAUUUAAAACUAAAACUCUGAGGUUAAAGGUUUCAAAGUGAAGGAAGAAAAUAAACUGUUUUUUAAAAGGAAAUAGCAGUGUGGCAACAGGCUGCCAUACCAUAGCCAUCCUUGCAGGUGAGACGAAUAAAUGCACAGAAUGUAUACAGGCAUCCAGACGAGAGAGGGAAGUAGUUGAUGCAAUAUCUCCUCCGAAACCCAAAAUUAUUCAAGAAAAGAAAAAAGGUCUUUAACAGAAAUGCUCGAGCACAUGGCACUCACAAAUAUAAAAAAUGUUUUAUGCCUUCACAGUCAAAUGAUUUAAAAUUUAAAAUAUAAAAAUCUAAUAGUGUUCUUCUGGAAUGGAUGUUUAAAGCUUAGUCAGCAUUAAGAUGGAGAUUUAUUCAUAAAUCCCAUUAAAAUGAAAUUCCAAAUAAGUUUCCCUAAAAGGUAUUUUAAAGUUUGCAGUUCGGAGGAAAAUGUCGGGAAAUGACAGGCAUAAAUCUUAGCCCUGAGAAGCUUCAAUGGCAUGUGGUGGAGAAAUCUGAUCUAGAGGGGAGGUGGGAAAAUCGCCGUUUUUAAAAAAGACAGAGAGAGAGAGAGAAAGUAAAAGAAAGGUCUUGAACCUUUUCCCAACACGCUGCUUUGAGUGUUGGGGCUACACAUUCAACACCAUUGUCCCACAGAACCUACGGCCGCCUAUGAAUGGCACAAAUGAAGUCCAUGAAUACUGCACAGAUGAAUUUCAGUGUAACUUUCCUUGAAAAGACAACAAAGGGCUCUUUUUUUUAAGCCUUUCAAAAAGCAAGGGGAGGGGGAAGGCGAUAGAAACUGUACCAGUCUCCUCCUGCUUUGAUGGACACUUAAUUUUCCAAAGCCCGAUUCCCCAAGGCAGGACAUGGAGGAAUUCCGUAAAAACCCGAAUUUGAUGAAACUAGGGCCAUCCAUCCCGUCGGCCUCUUGGAGAAGAAAAACAAAAACAGAGCAGCCUCCCUUAUUGCGAGGCCACCUCCUGUCUUCAAUAUCCUCAAACAACUUCCCUUCUUGUUCUCCUCUUCCCUCUCCUCAAUUUGUAUUCCUCAAGAUUGAGAAAAACCCCUUUGGAAAUUGUAAACAAACCUGCCACACACACAAAAAUAAAACAAAAGGAAACUUGAACAAUA
Molecule: long non-coding RNA, 1995 nt
Organism: Suricata suricatta (meerkat)
Lineage: Eukaryota; Metazoa; Chordata; Mammalia; Carnivora; Herpestidae
Exons: 5
Source: RefSeq, a predicted model, not a curated record